CCUACGGGAGGCAGCAGUGGGGAAUCUUCCACAAUGGGGGAAACCCUGAUGCAGCGACGCCGCGUGAGUGAGGAAGUAUUUCGGAAUGUAAAGCUCUAUCAGCAGGGAAGAACAUGACGGUACCUGACUAAGAAGCCCCGUCUAACUACGUGCCAGCAGCCGCGGUAAUACGUAGGGGCCAAGCGUUCUCCGGAUUUACUGGGUGGAAAGGGAGCGUGGACGGUUAAGCAAGUCAGAAGUGAAAACCCAGGGCUCAACCUUGAGAAUGCUUUUGAAACUGAGUAGCUAGAGUGCAGGAGAGGUGAGCGGAAUUCCUAGUGUAGCGGUGAAAUGCGUAGAUAUUAGGAGGAACACCAGUGGCGAAGGCGGCUUACUGGACUGUAACUGACGUUGAGGCUCGAAAGCGUGGGGAGCAAACAGGAUUAGAUACCCGUGUAGUC
This 440-nucleotide ribosomal RNA is filed under the name uncultured bacterium. RNAcentral describes it as "partial 16S ribosomal RNA". It matches the Rfam family "Bacterial small subunit ribosomal RNA", at positions 338 to 795 of the family's 1533-position model. The record is from RNAcentral.